CCUACGGGAGGCUGCAGUAGGGAAUUUUGCGCAAUGGGCGAAAGCCUGAAGCAGCAACGCCGCGUGAACGAGACGCCCUUCGGGGUGUAAAGUUCUUUCAGUUGGGACGAAAAAUGACGGUACCCACAGAGUCAGCACCGGCUACCUCCGUGCCAGCAGCCGCGGUAAUACGGGGGGUGCAAGCGUUGUCCGGAAUCACUGGGCGUAAAGAGUGCGUAGGCGGGAUGUCAAGUCAGGUGUUAAAGGCGCGGGCUCAACCUGUGUAUGGCACUUGAUACUUGCAAGCUGGAGUGUGGUAGAGGUAAAGGGAAUUCCUGGUGUAGCGGUGAAAUGCUUAGAUAUCAGGAGGAACACUGGUGGCGUAGGCGAUUUGCUGGGCCGUAAUUGACGCUGAGGAACGAAAGCCAGGGUAGCAAAUGGGAUUAGAUACCCUUGUAGUC
RNAcentral lists this ribosomal RNA (440 nucleotides) under uncultured bacterium. Its description in RNAcentral is "partial 16S ribosomal RNA". It matches the Rfam family "Bacterial small subunit ribosomal RNA", at positions 338 to 795 of the family's 1533-position model. The record is from RNAcentral.